AUUUUGUUAUAUAUGCUUUUCAUUUCUCAUUCUCUGGAAGUGGGCCGUUGUUCUAAAAAGUGUACAGAAAAUGAUAAGUUUCUGCUUUAGAGCACUGUACUUUUUAAGUUCAUCUUUUUGUACGAUAAGCAAUUAAAAUUUGGUUUUAAAUGGAUUUGUCUCUCUCCAUUCCAUAAAUACCGAUAUUUUUACCGAAAUUGUUAAUUGAAAGUACGCUACUGAAGUUUAUUAUUAUUAUUAUUAUUUAAACUUUAUACCUACCUACCUAUUAUUUUAGUUUAUACCUACUUAGCAGUAUUUUGUGAAAUGCACAAGUCUUUUAAUUUCCUCAAAUAUGAAAUGAAAAUUAAAGUGUUUAACUCGGGUGAAAAGCACCAAUUCAAAUGGUUGCCUUUCAUCUCUUGGCUAACAAUAUACUAUUUAUAAAUUGUAUAUACAGAUGUCAAUCACAAGGAAAAAACAGCAUAUGGUUAUUUAUUUAAUCUAUUGAAUCGUCUAUCGUACUGGUGUGGGACGCAACGUGUGUCGACACCUUUCCACAGUCCCACAUUGGGGCAGCCCGCAAUCAGGCCGGCGCUGCGGUUGACCAGGCCCAGAUGCUCAAGCGCCGCAAAUACUCGGCCUUACUCAAAGUCUAUGAGUUUGCGCGGCGCUCUCGGUUGAGACUUUUGGUCCCUGGUCAGCCGACAUGAAAGCAUUUAUGAGGGCACUGUCGGCGCGGCUUGUCGACACAACAGGGGACCCCAGGACUGGCGCGUACCUCUCUAAACGUAUCUUCCUUGCGAUACAGAGAGGUAACGCCGCCAGUUUCAUGGGGUCCAUGCCGCAGGCAGAUUUAUUGGACGGGGUGUUCUCUUUGUAAUUGGGUUUUUUUAUUAUUUUGUAGGUAAGUAUAUUUUUAUUUUUCCUUUGUUAUUUUCUACACUUAGUUUCAACUUUAGUAUUAUUUAUUUUUUUAUUUAGGUUUUACGUUUUUAUUGAUUACAAAAGUCUAGCAUCAUAGAAAUAAUAUUACGCCAUUCAAUAUUAUUUAUAAACGCGCUGCAAGGCUAAAUUAGCUUUUUCAUUUACGCUUUACAUCCCCUUCGGCCGCGUAUGUAACCGGAGUUUUGUAACCAGUUACCUAAGAAGAAAAAAUGAUCCUCAUAGGAUACUGGUAUCCAAGUGAUAUAUUUUUUUCCUUUCACGUAACCGAGUUACAACCUAGGAAAACUUCCUAAUGAUUACGAGUAAGUAUUUUAUAUUCCUCGCAGGUAACUGCUUGAAAGAUAGGUAUGGUAUUAUCAACCUCUUUUGAUAUCAUGCACUCAACAUUCUUUAUAUAACUGACGUUUUCAUAACACCUAGCACGGUACUGCUACAACCUGAAUGCACAAACUGAGACAGAAUAGUAUAGUACUGUUCUGUCUCAGCUUGUGCUGCCUACUAUUCUGCCCCGCUGCUCUGCCCUCGUGUGAAACGGGCAUAACUUUGCAACUCAAAAAUCAUGAACUAAGCGUAAUACUUUCUGUUGCCCUGGUACUUUUCACACUUUUCUCACCACGAUAUUCGUCACUUAUUCCAGAUGUCUUCAAUUACAAAAAAAAUAAUAUGGUAUAGGUCCUCGGUAAAGCAUGGGUCCGGAUGACUCAUGGUUUCAUAAGAGUAUUAUUUAUUCCUUACUGGAUACUAGUUACGAACAAUCAUACAGGUAUCAGUAAAGGUAAAAAUCCUAUUACUUGGAUACCAGUAUCCUAUGAGGAUCAUUUUUUAUUUUUAUGUAACUGGUUACAAAACUCCGGUUACAUACGCGGCCGAAGGGUUUAUUUACAUCAUAAACAAAAACCUCUUUGACAUGCCAAGGUCCCGGGCGCAAGCAAGCUAAUGUAUACCUAACUUGUAAGUGUCAAGUUUAUUUUGACAGUGUCUAAUGACAGACGUUUUUAGUUGUCCCUGGCGAUGUGGGGCUGUGGGCACGACUGCAGUCAGAACAAGACAAGUCUGCAACGAUUUUGAUAGCACACGCAGAGCAAGUGUUAUUUUUCUACGUCAUAAUUUCAUAGAUGUUUGACGUGCCCCUCCCCCGCAAAAAUCAGUAGACUGUAACAGGCUUGUUUUGUACAGAAAAUUCAGGCAAGGCGUCUCCAAUUGUCAAAUCCUCCAAGGUUAAAAUCGACAAUCUAGUCCAAACAUCUUAGAAAGGCGUCAUCAUAGUCUAUGAAUAAAGCACUAAAAAAUAAAAGUGACAUUUGUCAUUUUAUAUCGGGUGUCAUUUAAAAUCAUAAAUUUAUUUACAGAAAAUAAUUCUAAAAGAAAAUCUACCAAACUAAUUUACAAUAAAAACCAUAAAUUCCCAAGAUUUGAUCAGUGUUCCGUCCUAUUGACAAGGAGACAAAUCAUGAAUGGACCAGAGCAACCAUGUUGAGCUACCUUCUUAUAAUAAUUAAGAAGUGGAGGGCGAUCCUUAUUUUAACAGUCGGAAACUUAUGCCUGACGAAACCGAGACGUUAUAUAAAAUGCAUUUAUGGUUUCGUUGGAGGAAGAGUCCGAAUUUUGAGCAACGAUGCUAUGCGAGAAGUCGCGCAAAACAACGCGAGUUGCGUAUCCUGUACUGGAGGCCAAGACCCACGGUGCUGCUGAUUUACAAAGUUAGUAUAUUUUACUCUGCACCCUACCGGCAGAUCAUUAAUAAAUUCGAAAGCGAGAUAAACAAUUGUAAUUUACAAGAUUCGAUAAUUAGAGACGCUAGUAUUAUAUCCUAAUGGACAUCUAUCAUUUGUAAAUAUUACUUGUUAUAUAUAAUGACCCAAAACUUAUAUGUACUUGUAUGUAUAUAA
Long non-coding RNA from Cydia pomonella (codling moth), 2816 nucleotides. RefSeq lists it as uncharacterized. The transcript is spliced from 3 exons. The record is from RefSeq and is a predicted model, not a curated record. NCBI's taxonomy places the organism in Eukaryota, Metazoa, Arthropoda, Insecta, Lepidoptera, Tortricidae.